Molecule: ribosomal RNA, 373 nt
Filed under: uncultured bacterium
Lineage: Bacteria
Description: bacterial SSU rRNA
Rfam family: Bacterial small subunit ribosomal RNA
Source: RNAcentral
UAAUACGUAGGUGGCAAGCGUUGUCCGGAUUUAUUGGGUUUAAAGGGUGCGUAGGCGGCCCUGUAAGUCAGUGCUGAAAUAUCCCGGCUUAACCGGGAGGGUGGCAUUGAUACUGCAGGGCUUGAGUACAGAUGAAGUAGGCGGAAUUGACGGUGUAGCGGUGAAAUGCAUAGAUAUCGUCAAGAACACCGAUAGCGAAGGCAGCUUACUAAGCUGUAACUGACGCUGAGGCACGAAAGUGUGGGGAUCAAACAGGAUUAGAUACCCUGGUAGUCCACACUGUAAACGUUGAUGACUCGAUGUUGGCGAUACACAGCCAGCGUCCAAGAGCAAUCGUUAAGUCAUCCACCUGGGGAGUACGCCGGCAACGGUG